AUUGAGCGCUGGCGGCAGGCUUAACACAUGCAAGUCGAGCGGGGGAAGGUAGCUUGCUACCGGACCUAGCGGCGGACGGGUGAGUAAUGCCUAGGAAUCUGCCUAUUAGUGGGGGACAACAUCUCGAAAGGGAUGCUAAUACCGCAUACGUCCUACGGGAGAAAGCAGGGGAUCUUCGGACCUUGCGCUAAUAGAUGAGCACAAGUCGGAUUAGCUAGUUGGUGGGGUAAAGGCCUACCAAGGCGACGAUCUGUAGCGGGUCUGAGAGGAUGAUCUGCCACACUGGGACUGAGACACGGCCCAGACUCCUACGGGAGGCAGCAGUGGGGAAUAUUGGACAAUGGGGGGAACCCUGAUCCAGCCAUGCCGCGUGUGUGAAGAAGGCCUUAUGGUUGUAAAGCACUUUAAGCGAGGAGGAGGCUACUCUAGUUAAUACCUAGGGAUAGUGGACGUUACUCGCAGAAUAAGCACCGGCUAACUCUGUGCCAGCAGCCGCAGUAA
RNAcentral lists this ribosomal RNA (501 nucleotides) under uncultured bacterium. RNAcentral's name for it is "partial 16S ribosomal RNA". It matches the Rfam family "Bacterial small subunit ribosomal RNA", at positions 30 to 523 of the family's 1533-position model. The record is from RNAcentral.